AACGAACGCUGGCGGCAUGCCUAACACAUGCAAGUCGAACGAGACCUUCGGGUCUAGUGGCGCACGGGUGCGUAACGCGUGGGAACCUGCCCUUAGGUUCGGAAUAACUCCCCGAAAGGGGUGCUAAUACCGGAUAAUGUCUUCGGACCAAAGAUUUAUCGCCUUUGGAUGGGCCCGCGUUGGAUUAGCUAGUUGGUAGGGUAAAAGCCUACCAAGGCGACGAUCCAUAGCUGGUCUGGGAGGAUGAUCAGCCACACUGGGACUGAGACACGGCCCAGACUCCUACGGGAGGCAGCAGUGGGGAAUAUUGGACAAUGGGCGAAAGCCUGAGCCAGCAAUGCCGCGUGAGUGAUGAAGGCCUUAGGGUUGUAAAGCUCUUUUACCCGGGAUGAUAAUGACAGUACCGGGAGAAUAAGCUCCGGCUAACUCCGUG
This 433-nucleotide ribosomal RNA is filed under the name uncultured bacterium. RNAcentral's name for it is "partial 16S ribosomal RNA". It matches the Rfam family "Bacterial small subunit ribosomal RNA", at positions 29 to 507 of the family's 1533-position model. The record is from RNAcentral.